Molecule: unclassified non-coding RNA, 90 nt
Filed under: Pseudomonas granadensis
Lineage: Bacteria; Pseudomonadati; Pseudomonadota; Gammaproteobacteria; Pseudomonadales; Pseudomonadaceae
Source: RNAcentral
UGUAGGAGUGAGCCUGCUCGCGAUUGCGUCAUACCAGUCGACAUAUUCAUCGGCUGGUAGACCGCAAUCGCGAGCAGGCUCACUCCUACA